RNAcentral lists this long non-coding RNA (5576 nucleotides) under Gossypium raimondii (Peruvian cotton). RNAcentral describes it as "long non-coding RNA (GRAI_LNC004554)". The record is from RNAcentral. Lineage: Eukaryota; Viridiplantae; Streptophyta; Magnoliopsida; Malvales; Malvaceae.
AAUGGAUCUCCUUAUUACCCUUCAUUUGACUCAAAGAGUCUAACAUGUCCCAUAAGUGUAUCUUAAAGCUAAACACUCUCUAACACACCAACAUGUCCCAUUGAAUGGAGCUUAGCUCGACAUUUCCUUAUCUCUCCAACCUGUCAUAGGGUCUUUCGCCCAAAUCACAAAACAUAAAGGUGAGUACUAACAUUCCUAUGGCAUGCCAUUAUAUCCAACGGUUUCAGAAGAUUAUAGUGUCAAAACAUAUACUUAAAACAUAGAGCUCGCAAAUUAUGAGGAGCUUGUAGAGCAUUAUUUGAGCUCGCAAUAUAGAGCUUGCAUAUCACUGUUCAUAAAAACACAUAUAUAAUCACACAAAAAAGUAUAGAAAAGACUUACUCUCGAAACUUAGGAUAAAACUCUAAGCCCCUAGUUCACAUUAUGGUUCAUACAUACAUGUGGCGAUCCCUAAACACUCACCAAUUUGCUGAAAGCUCUAAACAAGCUUCGCUUUUUCCUUGUUUUUGCUUGUAGACAGUUCUAUUAGUUUCAUAAUUUCACAAACACACACAAGUCACUAACAGUCAAAGCACAUUGAAAACUCAUACAAAAACACAAGCGUACCUAGGUUAGCAAAUGCUAGUUUUUUGACAAACUUAAUCACUUUUAUUGCGAACCUUCUUAAGAGUUCUAAAGAAACAGAGUCUUACCUUAAGUUCUAAGAGUUAAGUUUUGGGUUCUUAUUUUCUUAUUUUCUUAAGUUCUAAGAAUAUGAAUUUUCGAUAGAAAGGGCUUAAUUUAUAAGUACUAAGUGUUUUGAUAUUCUUAGGAUACCCUAGUCGCAGUAGAAGUAGGAAAGAGUUACGUGCAUGAAUGGUGUUACGAAGAGGAAAGUAAGUUGACUUCUUAAUUUUGGUAUAAUUACCCUUUGACUACUUCUACUUUUGACUCUCAACUCAAAACAGUGAUCAUAGCUUGCCAAGUCUACUGGCGACUGCAACUUCAUCAAGCCCACUAGUGAUUAUAGUUCGCUAAAUCUACUAGUAACCUUUGUUUGCAGGCCUUUUGGCGAAUCCCAACUCGUCAAGCCUUAAACUCUUAGGUCCUAUUCUAAGAUGUUACACUUCCUUUGUGUCCUCGUUCUUCACAUUAGAUGAAGAGAACAAACAAACCUCUUUCAUAUGUCUAUAUCUACCGUAAUGGAAACAAGAUGUUUGGUAGAGAUUCAUACUCUACUCUUUUGGAUCUUAUCUGCAAUCAGGUUAAAAACCAAAGGAUUAUUCAAGUCAAUACAAACAACCCAUUCGAGCAAAGCGACCUCUUGCUCCACUAGCCAUAUUAUAGUCAAUUUUAAUCACCUUUCGUAUCAUAUCUCCAAUCAUGCUUAUGGAACUCUUUCCGUACAUGGUCGUAGAUAAAUCGGGCUAUUUCAUGCCAUAACAUUACCUAAAUAUAGUUGGGUGGCUGUGAAGGAAGUUGUCCAUAGUUGUACCAUUAAAUACUUUCUAAACACUACCUAAGGCCCCUUAGCUAGAACCUUUAUAUAACCUUCCUUUAAUUUGAAUGUGACCAUGUAGUAAUCAUUCUCCAAAUACAUUAACUAAAGUGCCUUUGUUGGUUAACAUAAGGAAAAUGUUUUAUUCAAUUCAACAUUAAACCCAAUCAUUUGACCCAAUAGUUUAAGGAAAACUAUCUUCGACAUGAUUUGUUCCAUCAAAAGAUUAACCCUCUGCGAGAACUUAAUUGAAGGAAUCUCAUAAAUAAUGCAAUUUUCAACCUCCUUCCGAAAGUUCGAUGUUGUCAUCUUCCCAAGUUUCCUCUUUCUCUUUGAAUUUGUUGUGAUAUUUAGUAGCUUAUCAUGAAAAGAAACCUGAUAUUCCUCUUGAGCAUCAACGGUCAUCCCCUUCUUAUCAAAUGGGUCCUCAUAAUGCAAAUGAACUUUGUUAGAAGCCUUAGCACUAAUCCUAGGAAUUGAUGGAUCACCAAGGUUGUCGUGUUCCUCGAUUGAAAUCUCCAUCUCUUGGUUGUGAUUAAAAUUUUUAAUUCGUCUUGCCCAAUUUUUUAUUACAAAAUAAUUAGAAUAUAAUAAGUCUUAGAUUUUUUAGUUACUAUUAAAUUAAAGAGUUAAUUGCACCAAACACCCUUAAAUUAUAACCCUCAUCCUAAAUUGGUCCCUAAGCUUUUAAAAUGUUCUAAUUACAUCCUCAAACUAUAGAUGUCAUACCAAUUAAGACCUUCCAUGAUUGAAACUGUUGAUUUAACUAUUGAAUGUCACAUAAAAUCUUAUAUGGCAUAAUUUAAAAUAAAAAUUUUAAAGAAAAGUAAAAUGUUAUCGCAUAAAUUUUAAAAUUAAAAACUAAAAAUAAAGUAAAAUUGAACAAAAUAGAGAGUAGAUGAUAGUUUCUAUAAAAACUUCGAAAACCUCAAAAUCAAGAUUUUUACAACAUUCAUUUUUACAAUAUUCAUUUUUGUUUUAAUUUUUUCAUUUUAAAUUAUGUCGCAUAAGAUUUGAUGUAUCAUUUAACAAUUAAAUUAAUAAUUUUAGUAGCGAAAGGAUCUUAUUGAUAUAAAUUCGACAAUUUGAAGAUGUAAUUAGAAUAUUUUAAAGUUUGAAGACUAAUUUAGAACUAAGGUCAUAUUUUGAAGAUGUUUCGUGCAAUUAACUGUAAAUUAAAUUAUAGUUAAGUUGUAUUUUAAUUCAAUUAGAUGUAAAGAUUUUAAACUUAUUUUAAUUCAAUUAUAUAUAUUGUUUUUAAAUAAAUUUGUUAAUUCAUUUUUAAUUAAAUUAGUUAAUUACCAUUAUUUAAAACCUUUAAUGAUACGAAAAUUUGUUAAGAAAGAAAAAAAAGAGUAAAGAAAUAAGAAUAAAAAAGUACAUAAUUAUCUUCCACAGGAUUUUAUUAAAAAGAAACAUUUAUCUAGUACGUUAAUAGGGGAGAUUUUUAACUCGUGAAAUUUUAAAAAAUAUCAUGUAUCCCAUUUUAUUUUUUUAAAACUUUUUAUUGUCAAACUCACCACUCCGUUGUUAAAUGUGACCAUACAUUUUCACAUAUUUUCCACUUCCUUUUUAGUUUUUCUUUUUUUUCGUUCACUUUUUUCUUUCUUAUCUUUUUCCUCAUCUUCUUCCUUACUUGACCUAGUUGUUGCUGAAGUCUUUGUGUCGAUCCUUGCCAAAUCCUAACCUAAACCAAAUCCACAAUACCCCAAACUCAAAUCAAUAACAACUCACGAACCCAAAAACCCUGCAACUGGAUUUUAGCACAACUUGUAAAAUAAGGAGAAAAUUAGAAAAUCGAAGAAGAAAAAACGAAAAACAAAAGAGAGAGAGAGGGAGGGUAAAUAGGUUUAGGGUUUUCCUUGAUUCUUGAAACUCGGAGCAUGUACUGUAAGAUCCCAACGGUGAGGAGUUUCCUUGAAUGGUGUUACGAUUGAUUUCUCAAUACGGUUGGAUAGUCAACCACCGAGAUUGGACUAAAAAACUUUGAACAUUGGCUUAUGAUUUUGAGAUUUUUCAGUUCAUUUCAGGAAAAACUAAAUCAGUAGGGGAGAAUAUAUAUACACAUUUUUUAAAAAAUUUAGAAAAAGGGGUGAAGUGAACAAUUUGAUUAACGAUAAUGAUUAAAUUAAAAAUAGAUUUUUGAGUAAUCAUGAUCUUUUAUCUGUAAAGUAAUUUAUUCUAAAAUAUAUAUUAAUAUAAAUUCAAUGGAUCUCAAUUACAUAUGUAAAAUAUAUUUAUAUACAAACAUAAAAUUAAUAAUUAAUAAUUGAGUUAAAUAACUUAAUUUAAUGAUUAUAUUUAUUUUUUAUUGAAGUUACAAAAAUUGAAAAUGGCUUAAAAUAUUAAAAAUUAGUUUAAAAAAUAUAAAAAUUUCGUAUAUGAACAACUAGUACAAGAUUUCUAUAUUUCUCAUAAUUAUUUUUAUUUUCUAGUUACAUUAAGAAUAAAAUAUAAUCAUUAAAAUUAAAUUAUCUAACUUACUUAAUAAUUUUAAAUUUUAUGUUUUUAUAUAAACAUUUUUUUAGAUAUGUAAAUGAGAUAUAUUUGCUUGUAUUUAAUGUAUAUUUUGUUUUAAAAAAAACUAGAAAUUAGGCUAUAAGUAUAGGAAAAAAAUUAAAAACACUAAUAAAUCUAAAAACAAAUAUUUGUAUAUAGCAGUACCUAUGAUAACUUUGGUACUGGUUGUUUAUAUACAAAUAUAAAAUUAUUAAUUAUUAAUUAUGUUAAAUAAUAUAAUUUGAUGAUUAUAUUUUAUUUUAAUGCAAGCAAAAAAAUGAUUAGCAAAAAAAUUCUUUAAAAAUAAAAAAAUUUCUAUAAAAAUUUAAAAUUAUAAUUAUGUGAAAAUUAAUAAAAUCAUAGUCUUAAAAAAUUAAAAAAAAUUGAGUUAGGUUAAAAUUCAAAAAUUAUAAAAAUAUUGAAAUAUCAAAAAGUUCUUUAAAAUUUUCAGAAAGUUUGCUAUUUUAAUUUUUUUAAAUUAUUAAAAAUAUUUUUAAAACUAUAAUUAUGUAUGUUGAUUGAGGUUUAGCUCAAUCUUACUUCUCGAAAGUGUUUUUGGGCCAAUUUUGUCCCAAAAGUACUUUUGAAAAGCUUAAAAGUAUUUUGUUUAACAAAUGUUAAAUUGGUCUUGAGUUUUAGGACUAUUGUUGGUGUGAGUUUGAGUAUAUUAAAGCGCAUAUAGAUUAAAAAGAAACUAAAAAUAGUGAUCAAAAUUUAUAAUGAGUAAUUAUGUAAAAAAUUAAAAUUUCAUAAAAUCUAAGAAAAAGAACCUUCCAAGCCCUUUCACUUUGUAAGAAAAUCCUCUCUCUUUUCCAGCCCAUCGCAUCAAUAAAAAUGGUUAAAUUUUGUACAGAUUUUACUUCAGCCAUUUUAAAUAGGUAAAUAUGUAAACAGGCUACCAUCAAACAAAAACAACAAAAAAACCAAAAGAAUUAUUGAUUUAUUGUUCGACACUGCAUCAAAAUAUAGUAAAUUUCUGAGGUGAAAAUAAAUUAAAAACAAAAAAAGUUACCAUAUUCUAAUCAAUUAAAAGUUCAAGAUAAAGAAAAUUUAGGUUAACAAAUCAAUGGAACUUUAAGUUUUUAGAUAAUUAAAAAUAGGCAAAAAAAAUUAUCAGCACUUCCCAAUAAGUAACUCAAAAAUUAACAUCGGAAUUAAAAAAAUAAUAAUUACCUGAAAGGUCUCAAGCAAUGGCGACGACUUGUUGUUUCAGAGGCUCAAGGAUGUUGUUUGAUUUUUUGCCUGUCUCCAUUUUCUUUACAUGGAUAUACAUGUACGUUGAUGUCACUGUAAAAAAAACAGAAACCAUUUUCAUUUCAUUUGUCCGCUGUGGGUUGAAGUGAUAGAGGACAAAGCUUGAACGGUGGUCCUGUUUUCGACCGGAGAGGAUGUCGGCAUGGUGGUUCAAGUGGCGGAAAUGGGGUUGAAAGCAGAAAGGUUGCUUUUUCAGAAAGUUCAAAGGUUUGAAAGGUUGUUUUUAGAAUUUUGUGAAAUUUUCAAUUUUUUUACGUAAUUAUAGUUUUAAAAACAUUUUUUAUAAUUUCAAAAAUAAAAUAACAAAAUUUCAGAGUUUUUCAAAGAAUUUUUUGAUAUUUUUACA